This 726-nucleotide ribosomal RNA is filed under the name uncultured bacterium. RNAcentral's name for it is "bacterial SSU rRNA". It matches the Rfam family "Bacterial small subunit ribosomal RNA", at positions 51 to 740 of the family's 1533-position model. The record is from RNAcentral.
ACACAUGCAAGUCGAACGAGAAAUCGGGCACUCAGGCAACUGAGUGCCGGAGAGUAAAGUGGCGCACGGGUGAGUAACACGUGGGUAACCUACCCCCGAAUCCGGGAUAACCUCGCGAAAGCGUUGCUAAUACCGGAUAUUGUCCUUUUGGUUGUGACCUUUGGGAUGAAAGGCAACCUCUUCAUGAAAGUUGUCGUUCAGGGNAUGGGCCCGCGUACCAUUAGCUUGUUGGUGGGGUAACGGCUCACCAAGGCUACGAUGGUUAGCUGGUCUGAGAGGAUGAUCAGCCACACUGGAACUGAAACACGGUCCAGACUCCUACGGGAGGCAGCAGUGAGGAAUUUUGCGCAAUGGGGGAAACCCUGACGCAGCAACGCCGCGUGAGUGAAGAAGGCUUUCGGGUCGUAAAGCUCUGUCAAGUGGGAAAAAAGUCUGAUGAUUAAUAGUUGUCAGAUCUGAUGGUACCACUGGAGGAAGCACCGGCUAACUCCGUGCCAGCAGCCGCGGUAAUACGGAGGGUGCAAGCGUUGUUCGGAAUUACUGGGCGUAAAGGGCGUGCAGGCGGGUUGGUAAGUCAGAUGUGAAAGCCCUGGGCUUAACCCAGGAAGUGCAUUUGAAACUGCCAUCCUAGAGUAUGGGAGAGGAGAGUGGAAUUCCCAAUGUAGAGGUGAAAUUCGUAGAUAUUGGGAGGAACACCCGUGGCGAAGGCGACUCUCUGGACAAUAC